UACGUAGGGUGCGAGCGUUAAUCGGAAUUACUGGGCGUAAAGCGUGCGCAGGCGGCUUUGCAAGACAGAUGUGAAAUCCCCGGGCUCAACCUGGGAACUGCAUUUGUGACUGCAAGGCUAGAGUACGGCAGAGGGGGAUGGAAUUCCGCGUGUAGCAGUGAAAUGCGUAGAUAUGCGGAGGAACACCAAUGGCGAAGGCAAUCCCCUGGACAUGUACUGACGCUCAUGCACGAAAGCGUGGGGAGCAAACAGG
Molecule: ribosomal RNA, 253 nt
Filed under: uncultured bacterium
Lineage: Bacteria
Description: partial 16S ribosomal RNA
Rfam family: Bacterial small subunit ribosomal RNA
Source: RNAcentral